This 1246-nucleotide long non-coding RNA is filed under the name Rattus norvegicus (Norway rat). RNAcentral's name for it is "long non-coding RNA NONRATT008365". Lineage: Eukaryota; Metazoa; Chordata; Mammalia; Rodentia; Muridae. The record is from RNAcentral.
GUAAUACUGAUAUCAUUAAUGAUUCAUUUCCCCUACAAAUAUCACAUUUACUAUAUUCUAAAUCUCCUAACAUACAAUCAAAUGUGUCUCACCAGUCGGUUUAUUUCAUGGUUCAAUAUAGUUUCUAGAAGCACUAUACUUCCAACCACCCUUUCUGUACAUUAAAUUUUUAAAGUUCUGACUUUCACCUAAUUCUUAAUGGUAGUUGUGAUCUUACUGGCUUUUCUCCCCUAGGCAGCUAAUUGCUUUCUUUUGAUGGUGAGCCUAGCCUUAACAACUGAGCCAUUGCUCUAGCCCUCUUACCGAGUUCUGAAAUCCACUGAAGUGCAGUAACAAAGCCUAACAUUGUUAUACUCAAAACAGACUGCAAAACUUAUCUUUUAAGUAAAACUCCAACUUUAUUGAACAAAGGAAUAAAUGGUGUUUUCAAGUUUUUGCAUCGUGGUUAAUUUUUAAGCCAUCUGAUCCAUGACAGUACUUAUCAAUACAAGAUGUUUGUCUAUUUUUGUCAUUUGUAUUUUGCUUAAUUUUAUAUUCAUAAAUAUACUUAAAUCAAUUAGUGGUACAAGGUAACACAUGGCACACAUGUUGCUUAAGCUGGUAAUAACAGAUAACAGCUCUAUAGUAACUUGCAGGUUCGUGUACAAAUUUGAAUUUUAUGCAAAAAUUUUGCUUUUAUUUUUUACAUUACUGGGACCUAGUGUCAGUUACAGAUAAACAAAUACUUGUUUUCUAUUUCCCAGCCAGAACAAAAAUCUGUAAUAUAACAUUUUCAUUAUGUAAGACUUUCUUUUUACAUUUUAGUUAGAAUGCCAUAUAGCCUUUUCUGAAACAAAAUGUCUGGGGUACUAAUGAAGGAAAAAGUUUAACAAGCUUAUUUAUUUAAAUCAAAUCCUCCAGUGAGAAAUGGAGGGUCUGCUGUCUUUACUUAGAAGGCUGUGUAAAUAGUCAUCUGUCAAAACUACAUACCCACAUGAACACAUGUGUGCAGUUCAACAACAGUCCCUACUGGAAACACGAGCACUCCACAUGACGGUUCCCACAGGACUUUUAAAGCCUCAGAAUUCUGUGUCUUCCCUGGCUUGCUUCUCUCGGGAUUCCACCCACGCUUUAUUAAUGGUUCGCUUCAUGUCAUCAUCUCCAUCUUCAUAAAUUUUCUUUAGAACAUUCAUUAAUCCCUCACUAGGAUCUGCCUCAGUGUCGUAGGAAGGCUUUUCUUUCUCUUUGCAUUCUUUUUCCACCUGAG